UCACCAAGAAGACUUCAAGCAAGUCUACACCACGAUCUAUCUGAAGAUCAGGCAGGCAGGUGCAUCCACUGGUCCGUCACUGCGAGCCUGGGAGAGAAGAGCUCUACCUCAUCAACAGCAAGCCCAACUAGCUUUGCCCAGGCUGCCUCCACGGAGCAGAGCUUCCUUUCUUUCUGCUGCCUGCAUCUUCGCUUCUCUUGAUGAUAACAAAGCUAGCAGCUAGAACGUCGACUGCAGAGCAAGAUGUUGAUGAGAUGCUACUUGUCCAUGUCGAUUUGGCAGCAAGAGUUCUGAAGGGAAAGCUUCCGUCCUCUAUCUCAACCCGAGGCAAAUGUAACAGGAGAAGAAAAAGGAACGCCUACGCGUUGUUGAAGAAUCUUACGUUCUCCUCUGAAGAUUGGUGCGCCAGCGGCGGCACCCCAAGAUGGCCAGCUUCCAGGUCAUCAGGGUCGUCUUCACCGACUCCAAGCUGCAGCAUGGGUUCAUCCGCCGCUUCGCCGGCGGCUUGCUGCUGCUGCUGCUGCGGCUUCACGUACAGAUGCACCAAAACGCAAGAGAGAUCGGAUCAGAUCGUCAGCGGCCAUGGUGGUAACUGGUAAUAAAUAGCUUGCUCUGAGUUUUUGGCUGGGGGAGUGUUACUAGCAUGUGCUGAUGAUGAUCUUACGUUAUUAACGGCGGCCCCGUCGUCGUUUGAGAUGCUCCGGCCAGCGCUCUCCGUCUCCUGAGACGACCACCACCGACGCACGAAGAGGACAAAGGGGAACAAAGCCGCUAGAUUCGCCAUUCUCGAUCGAUCCUUUGGCUCGAAGGGGGCUCGAAGGGCGAUGUGGUAGUGGCCGUGCCCGUGGAAGGGGAUAUUAGCUAGGGUUUGCAAGAAGGAAGAAUGGUUAGCUUAGCACUGACGCUAAGGCACAUUCAAAGUGCAUUACGUGUUCGAUCUUCUCGCUUAUGCAGGCCGGCGCAGCUCUCGCGGCUCGCGCAGGACACCUGGCAGGCUGGCAGGCCUGCCACGCUAGGGGGCAGCUGGGCAGGCUCCGCCCGCCCGCACGCGGCGUGCCCACACCGCGCAGCGCACAGGCCGCGCAGGGCCGCCGCCGUGUCGCGUAGGCCGCCGGCGCAGGGCCGUCCAGGGGGGCAGUUGGAGGGCGCACGCGCACUGAGGUCUGAGGUCUGAGCAAGCGCCAUGAGCCAAAGCCAGUGAACCAAGAAACGGUUAAUCUCGCGGACGGAGAAUACGAACUGGUGCCCGCAAACUCUCGUGUUGAUCAGGAGGUUAUCCUAAACUGUGCUAACUUAUCUCAAGACCCGGGCCAAGCCCCAGAGGUUUUUCUACCUGACAGUUCCCAAGAAGGCAAGCCCUGGUGCAAAAUCCCACUAAUUUCUGAGUUUUUAUUCAUUUAGCUAUUUUACAAUGUGUUGUAUUAAGUUUAUUUCUGCAUUUAAGUUUUCUAGGCGUUGAUUGAAAACCUUAGAUGCAUGAUUCCUUGGUACCUAUGUGUGACACCCGGAUCAUUGUAUCGACUAGUUGCCAUGCUAAUUAGGUACGGUAGAAGUCGAGGGGUUUCCUGCCUCUCGCGAACAAAUAGGAAUCUUACUGACUUUAAAUUCCUGCUGAAAUAUAAGGACAACGGGCGGGGUUGUGUAGUUGUGAUACCCCGCUGGUGUAUGAAAAAUGGCUAAGGUCGCGGUGUGUGGCUCAUUUCGUUAAGUGUUUGAAAGUACUAGCCA
Long non-coding RNA from Panicum virgatum (switchgrass), 1728 nucleotides. RefSeq lists it as uncharacterized. Lineage: Eukaryota; Viridiplantae; Streptophyta; Magnoliopsida; Poales; Poaceae. The record is from RefSeq and is a predicted model, not a curated record. The transcript is spliced from 4 exons.